This is a long non-coding RNA of Numida meleagris (helmeted guineafowl), 1714 nucleotides long. NCBI's taxonomy places the organism in Eukaryota, Metazoa, Chordata, Aves, Galliformes, Numididae. The record is from Ensembl.
UGUGUGUGUACACCAGCGAAAACAAUGAAACUGCAGUGCAAAUAAGAACGGCUGUAUCACCUCAGGGGCAAUGUCCAUCCCUCCUCGUGUCCCGCAGCUCCCACCAGUGGCUGCAGCACUGGGCCACAUCCCAGCGUUGUGUCGGCAGCGGAACCGGAGCUCAGCGCGUGAAGGCCCAACCGCGUGUGAGAGGACCUGGAAAACAAGUUCAGCCCUGCUAUCUGCGCCUGGCAUGUGAGAAUGAAAACUGAGGCUCGUUUGGAGCAAAGGGCUCCCUGCGGCCGCUGACAGCACAGGGUUUGGAGGCAGCUUUGCAGGACAUCCCGGGACCAGCGCGGCGCAGCUGGAAGUACCAGCUGGCUGGAAAGCACUCAGCCAUGGCCCACUGAGGAACUGAAAGGUGGGAGUGCUUACCAUAAUUCUCAUUCUCAAUGUGGUUUAGUUGUUAUUCCACCUACGUUAUUUACGUGUGUGCGAUGGCCGGUUUAUCAGGGAUUUAUUUAUGAGGAGCAAACUGACACGGUCGCUGUCUCGGAGGGCUGCAGGAUAAUACGUCUCAAGCACCCAGCAUUAGGUAACACUUUAGAGAGCUGUUCUUUCCAUGCUGAUGGCACAGGACAUUAUUGGCACAUCCCGCCUGCUUCGUGUGACUGUAAGACCAGCUUCCCAAGGCCUGCAGCGCAGACAGACAGAGGUGUGGCAAGCUCUAGCUGAUGUGGUGUGUUCUUCUUCAUUGUCCUUCACUGCAGAACCGCAUAUCUGAAAUCCAGUCCAUUUCAGGAGUUACACCAGUGUGAAUAAUAGAGGUAAUGUACCUUGGGAAUCAGAGAAUUGGGCCUUGACCUCUUGGCUUGGGUUAUAUCAAGGAUGGACUCAUAUGCUAAGGCACCUCAGUCUUGGCAGUUAAACAGGAUUUACGUGCACAAAGUCAAACUGGCAAACAUGAAUUAGAACCCAAAAUACAAAAACUGGAACAGAGUGCCAAAAUACAUAAAUAACUGAAAAUCAAACUGAUACAGAUCCCAUCAGCUUUCCCUCUACAUUUUGGACCUCAGUAUCAUUGUGAUUCCUAUCCUGAUAAUCCUUUUAACUCUGCCUUGUUUGAAUACUUCAGAAGUGGUUGGUCAAAUAGCCGUUACGUUGCUCAUUGCAGCACAGCAGUACUCACCUUUGUAGAAAUGCCUGAAAAUCCCAGCCAACCAUCCUCUGGUGCCCUUCUCACCUCAGACAUAUUUGGAAUCCCCUCUCUUUCCCAGGUUGAGUGUCACAGUCAUCAUUUGGUCCUUCAUGACUGCAGAAGCUGUGGCUGUGAUCUAGUUUGCUUUGAGUGCUUGUAUUGAAUGUUCUUUGCUGAGCUUCAUUCGCCUUCCUCUGCAUUCUAGUCUGUUCAAGUAGACCUUUACAAGGACAAACAUGCCAAAUCACACAAGACUAAAUUGUCUGCAGCAUUCCUUUGUGAUAUGAUAAAUUUUCAGCAGAAUAGCAGAAAUUGAGCAGAAAUGCAUAAGGAAAUCCCAUGUAGAAAUGAUAGAAAUGAAUUCAAAACCUUUUAUUCAGCAUAAUUUGGACAAGACAUAAUAGAGUCCACAGUUACACGUGAGAAGCAAUAAGUGAGAAGUAUAUAACUGGUAAAAUAGCACUCAAUUAAUUUACAUUUUCUGUUGCAUCUUUAUGGUGAAUCUCAGCUGUGUGUUAAUGGUUCUCAUAAGAAUCU